Empidonax traillii (willow flycatcher) is the source of this 520-nucleotide long non-coding RNA. RefSeq lists it as uncharacterized. NCBI's taxonomy places the organism in Eukaryota, Metazoa, Chordata, Aves, Passeriformes, Tyrannidae. The transcript has 3 exons. The record is from RefSeq and is a predicted model, not a curated record.
CAGAUGCCACAUACUUUGUGUAAAUAUAUGUGGCUUUUAAUUUCAAUGAUUUUCCAUCGGGAAACGGAGGCACAGAAGAUGACCUGAAUUGUCUCAGGGGGUUAAACUACAGACUAGUGGCAAAGGUUGUCCUUGAACAAUACUGUCCCAAGAAGAUCUGAGGAGAGCAGAGAACCAAGGCUUACCUCCACAGUCUUGAUACACUGAAGCUAGGUAUCAAUGAGCACAAGUCAAACCAGGGAAGGAAGACAAAAUUUGGCUGGAGAAAUGAAUGUGGAGAUAGUUUUCCUUUGUUUUUUUCCCUUAAUCAUAGCUUGUAGCAUAUUAAUAGAGAUCAGCUUUCAUUGCAGCUGCCUAUACUGUACUUGACCUAUGCAGAAAGAAUUUGGUCUCCGAGCCUGGAAGUCAGGCAUCCUUCCCUAGCUCUGAUUUCUCUUAAAUAAUUUUAAUUAAACAAGGAAGGAAAAAAGUGAACUGACAGUUAUGAAUAAUGAAGUGGGAAGGGGCUAUGAAUACAAUA